This 297-nucleotide ribosomal RNA is filed under the name Streptococcus oralis. Its description in RNAcentral is "partial 23S ribosomal RNA". It matches the Rfam family "Bacterial large subunit ribosomal RNA", at positions 1375 to 1670 of the family's 2925-position model. The record is from RNAcentral. Lineage: Bacteria; Bacillati; Bacillota; Bacilli; Lactobacillales; Streptococcaceae.
CUGGGUUAGUCGGGACCUAAGGAGAGACCGAAAGGUGUAUCCGAUGGACAACAGGUUGAUAUUCCUGUACUAAAGUAUGUAGUGAUGGAGGGACGCAGUAGGCUAACUAAAGCAGACGAAUGGAAGUGUCUGUCUAAGCAGUGAGGUGUGAAUUGAGUCAAAUGCUUAAUUCUAUAAACAUUGAGCUGUGAUGGGGAGCGAAGUUUAGUAGCGAAGUUAGUGACGUCACACUGCCAAGAAAAGCUUCUAGCGUUUAAACAUACUCUACCCGUACCGCAAACCGACACAGGUAGUCGA